CGGGAAGUAGCGCAGCCUGGUAGCGCACUUGCUUCGGGAGCAAGGGGUCGGCGGUUCGAAUCCGCUCUUCCCGACCA
RNAcentral lists this transfer RNA (77 nucleotides) under Holosporales bacterium. RNAcentral's name for it is "tRNA-Pro". It matches the Rfam family "tRNA". From Rfam's summary of the family: Transfer RNA (tRNA) molecules are approximately 80 nucleotides in length. Their secondary structure includes four short double-helical elements and three loops (D, anti-codon, and T loops). The record is from RNAcentral. Lineage: Bacteria; Pseudomonadati; Pseudomonadota; Alphaproteobacteria; Holosporales.